GAUGAAGAACGCAGCGAAAUGCGAUAAGUAGUGUGAAUUGCAGAAUUCAGUGAAUCAUCGAAUCUUUGAACGCACAUUGCGGCCAUAGGUAUUCCUUUGGCCAUGCCUGUUCGAGCGUCAUUUACACCCUCAAGCCUAGCUUGGUGUUGGGCGUCUGUCCCGCCGUUCUCGCGCGCGGACUCGCCUCAAAGUCAUUGGCGGCGGUCGUGCCGGCCCCCUCGCGCAGCACAUUUGCGCUUCUCGGAGGCCCGGCGGAUCCGCGCUCCAGCAAGACCUUUCACGACUUGACCUCGGAUCAGGUAGGGAUACCCGCUGAACUUAAGCAUAUCGAUAAGCGGAGGA
This 342-nucleotide unclassified non-coding RNA is filed under the name soil metagenome. Its description in RNAcentral is "partial contains 5.8S ribosomal RNA, internal transcribed spacer 2, and large subunit ribosomal RNA". The stretch from base 1 to 120 matches the Rfam family "5.8S ribosomal RNA", at positions 35 to 154 of the family's 154-position model. The record is from RNAcentral.